Long non-coding RNA from Cyprinus carpio (common carp), 1278 nucleotides. RefSeq lists it as uncharacterized. Lineage: Eukaryota; Metazoa; Chordata; Actinopteri; Cypriniformes; Cyprinidae. The record is from RefSeq and is a predicted model, not a curated record. The transcript is spliced from 4 exons.
ACCAUGUUUCACCUCUCUGGACGGGGAGCACCACACACUCACCAAAAUGCAAGCUCACCUUGCCUGGGAGAUCUUCGGGAUGACAUCACUCACCUUCAGGAUGACAUCAUGCUGACCUCACCGCCGCCGGGGCUUCUGAGGUCCUUUUGGUCAAAGAUAAUGUGGGUGGCAAAAUAGAUGCCAAUGGCGCUAAAGAUGGCAGACGAGGCGAUGUACGUGGUGACGGACUCUGUGAACUGGACGAUCAUGCCCAUGAAGAGGGUAGGGAAGACCUGAGAGAGAAGGAAGGUGCUGUCCAGAAUGGCAAAGUCAAGUCCUACCCCACGUUUCCCAAAAUCCUCUGACUCCAGACCAAGGGCGGCACCGUUCUGAUGCAGAGUGGCAGGUAAGCGUGUAAGGCAGUGUCUGCAGCGUUGCAUAGGCAAAGCCAGUGAGGGCCGACAUAGCCGUGACCAACAGGACGCUCUUGGACAAGCAGAUGACCAGAGCGGAGAUGGUGAAACACACCAUGCUGCUCAAAUAGACCACCCUGGACCCAAAGAGAUGCACCAGCCUGCUCAUGACCAGCGAGAAGAAGGUUGAGGUAGCGCACUGCAGGAACAGACCCAGGCUGCCCAUACGGAUACCUGGAGGGGGGAUGGUAGAGAAUUUCAGAGAAACAGCUCAAGCACAAGGCUGACAGAGGCCACAUGUGGAGGUGAAUACAAGUUCAUGGCAUAGAGACAGACAAUCUGGCCAGAGGACGGAAAUGAGAGACCACCAACAGCAGGAAAACAAGUUUAUGGACAGUUUUAAAAAAAACCUGCCUUUUGACCGCAGACAGGGAAAUGAAGUGAAGGUAAUGUUUAUUAUUAUGCUUAACUCCAUGAAACAAACACUGAUAUCCUUUAUAUUCAUUCUUGCUAUCUAAUCAGAGCCUCCAGACAAAACUGAAAAUCUAUGUACAAAUAUUAACCAAUAAAAUGUCCCUUAACAUUAACAAAACAUUAGGAACGCCUCUGAGUGGGAAUGCAUUAAGCAUGAGUCAGAGAGCGUCUGUGAAAUAAAUAAUAUCAUUAAUCUCUUGGGAAAUCAAACAUUUCAUGACCUGCUUGAAAUGCAACAUUAUGAUAAAACCGUUCUGGAUUCAGAUUGCUCAGUACAUUGGAAAAGUUCUACUAAGGAACUUACUGCCCUAUUACUAAACACCUAGCUGCAACUGCUCCCCAUUGACUUUAAUUGUAUGGACAAAAAAGCUGAAAAAUUCAUCAAAACAUCCUUUUUUGUUUUCCACAAAAG